UGUUGCAGUUAAAAAGCUCGUAGUCGAACUUUGGGCUUGGUUGGCCGGUCCGUUUUUAUGACGUGUACUGGUUCCAACCGAGCCUUUCCUUCUGGCUAACUAUCCUUUCGGGGGUAGCGAACCAGGACUUUUACUUUGAAAAAAUUAGAGUGUUCAAAGCAGGCCUUUGCUCGAAUAUAUUAGCAUGGAAUAAUAGAAUAGGACGUUUGGUUCUAUUUUGUUGGUUUCUAGGACCAUCGUAAUGAUUAAUAGGGACGGUCGGGGGCAUCAGUAUUCAAUUGUCAGAGGUGAAAUUCUUGGAUUUAUUGAAGACUAACUACUGCGAAAGCAUUUGCCAAGGACGUUUUCAUUAAUCAAGAACGAAAGUUAGGGGAUCGAAGAUGAUCAGAUACCGUCGUAGUCUUAACCAUAAACUAUGCCGACUAGGGAUCGGGUGUUGUUUUUUUAACGACUCACUCGGCACCUUACGAGAAAUCAAAGUCUUUGGGUUCUGGGGGGAGU
RNAcentral lists this ribosomal RNA (501 nucleotides) under Saccharomycetaceae sp. RNAcentral describes it as "partial small subunit ribosomal RNA". It matches the Rfam family "Eukaryotic small subunit ribosomal RNA", at positions 611 to 1124 of the family's 1831-position model. The record is from RNAcentral. Lineage: Eukaryota; Fungi; Ascomycota; Saccharomycetes; Saccharomycetales; Saccharomycetaceae.